Oxyura jamaicensis (ruddy duck) is the source of this 927-nucleotide long non-coding RNA. RefSeq lists it as uncharacterized. NCBI's taxonomy places the organism in Eukaryota, Metazoa, Chordata, Aves, Anseriformes, Anatidae. The transcript has 2 exons. The record is from RefSeq and is a predicted model, not a curated record.
UCACUGGCCAGUGACAACAAAAAGAAAUACAUAUUUUUCCUCUCCUUUUCUGGACCCUUCUCAGAACAACAUGAGACAGAAAAGUCACAUGAAGAGGAGACGAGGGUGGGGGAAGACUACUAUAGAGCUGCCUUUCAGGAAUAUUGGCAUUAAAGGAGCAUCAACAAAAUCCUGCAAAGUCACCACAUUCAUGUGCCCUCGGACUGGUCUGAGUGGUCCAAAUACCUGGUACCCAAAGCUCCAUUUUCUGAAAAUGGCACUGAUUUCAGUUAACUUGUUGCCACAAGUUGCAGCAGUUUGGUGAGUUUAUUUGAAUGGUAGUUCCAUGUACUCAUGUCUUCAUCCUGAGGUAGCUGUCAAAGCUAGCUGAAAUGGUUCCAGUCUAAAUAGAUUAUGUUUCUUCUGUCCUGAAGAGAGACAGCUAAGGGGAAUAGAAAAAUAUCCAUAAAAUCAGGAGUGACAUGGAGAAAGGGAACAGGUACUGAAUGAACAUGCACUCUCUCAAAACAAGAACCAGAGGGUAUCAUACAAAACCAUCAUAAAAAUAGGUUCAAAACAAUCUAAAGGAGGUCAUUCGUCAUAAAUGCGUAUUGCAGCCAGGGAAAUCCUUGUUCAGGACGUUGUGGAUGGCGGAAGCUGAGACAGGCUAAAACUGGAAAAAUUGCAUUAAAGAAAAGUGUACAAAGAUCUGCUAAAAAGAAAGAUGCUGCCUUUGUUUUAUGAAAACCCUGAACCACAAACUGCUGUAAGCAAGAGCGUUUGGAAUGCUACCACUGUGCUUGCCCCUGUGCUGCUGUAAAUGAGGCACUAGGCUUGUUUGUUCUUAUAUUCUUAUAAGAUUUUUUUGGACAAGACAAAAGAUUGCUGGGAGGAAAAACAAGGCUAGGAGAUGAUGUUAUUGAAUGCUUUAGGUAUUCUGAUAAAAAA